CGAGCACGCGCGUGUGGCAUAUCAAUAAGCGGAGGAAAAGAAACUAACAAGGAUUCCCUUAGUAACGGCGAGUGAAGCGGGAAGAGCUCAAAUUUGAAAUCUUCAAGGUUCUACCUUGACGAAUUGUAGUUUAUAGAAGUGUUUUCUGUUAGUGGAGUGGCAAAAGUUCUUUGGAAUAGGACAUCAUAGAGGGUGAGAAUCCCGUAUUUGGUCAUUCCUCCUAGCGUUGUGAUACACUUUCAACGAGUCGGAUUGUUUGGGAAUGCAGUCCAAAAUGGGUGGUAAAUUUCAUCUAAAGCUAAAUAUUGGCGAGAGACCGAUAGCGAACAAGUACCGUGAGGGAAAGAUGAAAAGAACUUUGAAAAGAGAGUUAAACAGUACGUGAAAUUGUCAGAAGGGAAGCGUUUGACACCAGUGUUGUUUUUCCGAAAAUCAAUUACGAAUGUUUUAGUUUUUGAGGAGUUAUGACUUCAUCGGCUUGCUUCUCUCUUUAUGAAACUUUCUUAAUGCACUUUUCGGUUAACAAGUCAACAUCAAUUUCUUUUGUUGUAAAAGGGUAUGAGGAAGGUGGCUUUCUUUUCGGAGAAAGUGUUUAUAGCCUUGUGCCUCUGCAAUCGGAGAGAUUGAGGUCUGCAGCGUAGAUCCUUCGGGGUUAGAUACGUUUGUGCUAAGUUAUAGCUUUUCAUAGACAACUUGUUGACUAUGUUAGUCUUGUAGCUUACUCGCUUAUGCUAUUUUACCUACGCUUAGGAUGUUGAGUAGCGACAUACGCAC
This 774-nucleotide ribosomal RNA is filed under the name uncultured Neocallimastigales. RNAcentral describes it as "partial large subunit ribosomal RNA". It matches the Rfam family "Eukaryotic large subunit ribosomal RNA", at positions 19 to 649 of the family's 3401-position model. The record is from RNAcentral. Lineage: Eukaryota; Fungi; Neocallimastigomycota; Neocallimastigomycetes; Neocallimastigales.